CGCAGAGCUCAGCUGCGGUGCCCACUACAGUACAAAUUAAAAGCUAGUGUUUUUUACUGUUAUUUUGACAGCACACCUUAUAAAUUUUACAUGUAUCCUGACAGUCUGCAUCAUGGAACCACUCGCAGGUUUCAGAGGUGUCAGGAUCUGACAUAGCAGGCACACUGGCAGUCACUUUCUCACACUUCAUCUAAAGAGCCUACUUAUCUCUAAGAGCCUGUGGUAGGAUCUGCCAGCCUCUGGUGCCUCACAGACUCUGAAGGAUCCUCAGUUGAGCUACUCUGAGGCUACUAGAAGUAACCUGAGAGUUUCCUCACUGGACUAACGAGUGCCACGAGAUGAAUCUCCUUUUCACCCAAUAAAAGUCAGUUGCUUUAGUGCAUUUCUAGAAUCCUCCUUAACAUUUGCAAAACAGUAAGUGCAUUUCUCGAAACAGAUUGUACAAACAGCGCCACACAGUGGAUUACGUGCAAAAGCCUGUACCCUGCUCAAAUUCCUUAGUCUGUCUCUCAAAAGUAAAUCUUUAUGUCAGUGAACAUGUCAGUGCCAUCAGAAUGACAAGUCCUUGUGAUAUUGUUAAGAAACAAGAUAGUCAAAAUGUUUGGCCAUGUUGUCAAUGUC
Molecule: long non-coding RNA, 621 nt
Organism: Micropterus dolomieu (smallmouth bass)
Lineage: Eukaryota; Metazoa; Chordata; Actinopteri; Centrarchiformes; Centrarchidae
Exons: 3
Source: RefSeq, a predicted model, not a curated record